UACGUGGGCAGCAAGCGUUGUUCGGAGUUACUGGGCGUAAAGGGUGUGUAGGCGGUUUUCUAAGUCUGGUGUGAAAUCUCCCGGCUCAACUGGGAGGGUGCGCCGAAAACUGGAAGGCUAGAGUGCGGGAUGGGAGAGUGGAAUUCCUGGUGUAGCGGUGAAAUGCGUAGAUAUCAGGAGGAACACCUGUGGUGUAGACGGCUCUCUGGACCGCAACUGACGCUGAGACACGAAAGCGUGGGUAGCAAACAGG
RNAcentral lists this ribosomal RNA (253 nucleotides) under uncultured bacterium. RNAcentral's name for it is "partial 16S ribosomal RNA". It matches the Rfam family "Bacterial small subunit ribosomal RNA", at positions 524 to 776 of the family's 1533-position model. The record is from RNAcentral.